This 292-nucleotide ribosomal RNA is filed under the name uncultured bacterium. Its description in RNAcentral is "partial 16S ribosomal RNA". It matches the Rfam family "Bacterial small subunit ribosomal RNA", at positions 505 to 796 of the family's 1533-position model. The record is from RNAcentral.
GUGCCAGCCGCCGCGGUAAUACGGAGGGUGCGAGCGUUGUCCGGAAUCACUGGGCGUAAAGGGCGCGUAGGUGGCUCGUGAAGCGUGCGGUGAAAGUCCGAGGCUCAACCUCGGAUCGGCCGUGCGGACUCGCGGGCUCGAGCGUUGUAGAGGCGGGUGGAAUUCCGGGUGUAGCGGUGGAAUGCGUAGAGAUCCGGAAGAACACCGGUGGCGAAGGCGGCCCGCUGGGCAACUGCUGACACUGAUGCGCGACAGCGUGGGGAGCAAACAGGAUUAGAUACCCUCGUAGUCC